RNAcentral lists this ribosomal RNA (471 nucleotides) under uncultured organism. Its description in RNAcentral is "partial 16S ribosomal RNA". It matches the Rfam family "Bacterial small subunit ribosomal RNA", at positions 333 to 796 of the family's 1533-position model. The record is from RNAcentral.
ACACUCCUACGGGAGGCAGCAGUGGGGAAUAUUGCACAAUGGGCGCAAGCCUGAUGCAGCCAUGCCGCGUGUAUGAAGAAGGCCUUCGGGUUGUAAAGUACUUUCAGCGGGGAGGAAGGCAAUACGGUUAAUAACCGUGUUGAUUGACGUUACCCGCAGAAGAAGCACCGGCUAACUCCGUGCCAGCAGCCGCGGUAAUACGGAGGGUGCAAGCGUUAAUCGGAAUUACUGGGCGUAAAGCGCACGCAGGCGGUCUGUCAAGUCGGAUGUGAAAUCCCCGGGCUCAACCUGGGAACUGCAUUCGAAACUGGCAGGCUUGAGUCUUGUAGAGGGGGGUAGAAUUCCAGGUGUAGCGGUGAAAUGCGUAGAGAUCUGGAGGAAUACCGGUGGCGAAGGCGGCCCCCUGGACAAAGACUGACGCUCAGGUGCGAAAGCGUGGGGAGCAAACAGGAUUAGAAACCCUUGUAGUCC